Molecule: ribosomal RNA, 301 nt
Filed under: uncultured bacterium
Lineage: Bacteria
Description: partial 16S ribosomal RNA
Rfam family: Bacterial small subunit ribosomal RNA
Source: RNAcentral
CAGCAGCCGCGGUAAUACGUAGGGUGCAAGCGUUAAUCGGAAUUACUGGGCGUAAAGCGUGCGCAGGCGGUUUUGUAAGACAGAAGUGAAAUCCCCGGGCUCAACCUGGGAACUGCCUUUGUGACUGCAAGGCUAGAGUACGGCAGAGGGGGAUGGAAUUCCGCGUGUAGCAGUGAAAUGCGUAGAUAUGCGGAGGAACACCGAUGGCGAAGGCAAUCCCCUGGGCCUGUACUGACGCUCAUGCACGAAAGCGUGGGGAGCAAACAGGAUUAGAGACCCGCGUAGUCCCUGUCUCUUAUAC